Molecule: ribosomal RNA, 425 nt
Filed under: uncultured bacterium
Lineage: Bacteria
Description: bacterial SSU rRNA
Rfam family: Bacterial small subunit ribosomal RNA
Source: RNAcentral
GUGGGGAAUAUUGCACAAUGGACGAAAGUCUGAUGCAGCAACGCCGCGUGGAGGAUGACACAUUUCGGUGCGUAAACUCCUUUUAUAUGGGAAGAUAAUGACGGUACCAUAUGAAUAAGCACCGGCUAACUCCGUGCCAGCAGCCGCGGUAAUACGGAGGGUGCAAGCGUUACUCGGAAUCACUGGGCGUAAAGAGCGUGUAGGCGGGUAGUUAAGUCAGAAGUGAAAUCCAAUAGCUCAACUAUUGAACUGCUUUUGAAACUGAUUACCUAGAAUAUGGGAGAGGUAGAUGGAAUUUCUGGUGUAGGGGUAAAAUCCGUAGAGAUCAGAAGGAAUACCGAUUGCGAAGGCGAUCUACUGGAACAUUAUUGACGCUGAGACGCGAAAGCGUGGGGAGCAAACAGGAUUAGAAACCCUAGUAGUCC